UUAAAAAGCUCGUAGUUGGAUUCUGCUGAGGACGACCGGUCCGCCCACUGGGUGUGCAUCUGGCUCGGCCUUGGCAUCUUCUUGGAGAACGUAUCUGCACUUCAUUGUGUGGUGCGGUAACCAGGACCUUUACUUUGAGGAAAUUAGAGUGUUUCAAGCAGGCGUGCGCCUUGAAUACAUUAGCAUGGAAUAAUAAGAUAGGACCUUAGUUCUAUUUUGUUGGUUUCUAGAGCUGGGGUAAAGAUUAAUAGGGAUAGUUGGGGGCAUUCGUAUUUAACUGUCAGAGGUGAAAUUCUUGGAUUUGUUAAAGACGGACUACUGCGAAAAGCAUUUGCCAAGGAUGUUUUCAUUGAUCAAGAACGA
Molecule: ribosomal RNA, 363 nt
Filed under: uncultured eukaryote
Lineage: Eukaryota
Description: SSU rRNA
Rfam family: Eukaryotic small subunit ribosomal RNA
Source: RNAcentral